This 253-nucleotide ribosomal RNA is filed under the name uncultured bacterium. Its description in RNAcentral is "partial 16S ribosomal RNA". It matches the Rfam family "Bacterial small subunit ribosomal RNA", at positions 524 to 776 of the family's 1533-position model. The record is from RNAcentral.
UACGUAGGGUCCGAGCGUUGUCCGGAAUUACUGGGCGUAAAGCGCGCGCAGGCGGCCCGCGAGGUGUCACGUGAAAGCCCCGGGCUCAACCCGGGAGGGUCGUGGGAAACCGGCGGGCUUGAGGCCGGUAGAGGUGGGUGGAACUCCUGGUGGAGUGGUGAAAUGCGUAGAGAUCAGGAAGAACACCCGUGGCGAAGGCGGCUCACUGGGCCGGUACUGACGCUGAGGCGCGAAGGCGUGGGGAGCGAACGGG